GUCCACGCCCUAAACGAUGAACACUAGGUGUGGGGUGCAUAGCAUUCCGUGCCGCAGCUAACGCAAUAAGUGUUCCACCUGGGGAGUACGGCCGCAAGGUUGAAACUCAAAGGAAUUGACGGGAGCCCGCACAAGCAGUGGAGUAUGUGGUUUAAUUCGACGCAACGCGAAAAACCUUACCAAGGAUUGACAUCCCGAGAAGUCGGCGUAAUGGCUGAUGUGCCUCUUCGGAGGAACUCGGUGACAGGUGGUGCAUGGUUGUCGU
RNAcentral lists this ribosomal RNA (265 nucleotides) under uncultured bacterium. RNAcentral's name for it is "partial 16S ribosomal RNA". It matches the Rfam family "Bacterial small subunit ribosomal RNA", at positions 793 to 1055 of the family's 1533-position model. The record is from RNAcentral.